GAUAAACGCUAGCGGCAGGCUUAACACAUGCAAGUCGAGGGGCAGCAUAGAUUGUAGCAAUACAAUUGGUGGCGACCGGCGCACGGGUGCGUAACGCGUAUGCAACCUACCCGUCACAGGGGGAUAAUCCGGAGAAAUCUGGUCUAAUACCCCAUAACAUAUGGAUCGGCAUCGGUUCAUGUUGAAAUUUUCGGAGGUGACGGAUGGGCAUGCGUAGCAUUAGCUUGUUGGUGAGGUAACGGCUCACCAAGGCGACGAUGCUUAGGGGGACUGAGAGGUUUUCCCCCCACACUGGUACUGAGACACGGACCAGACUCCUACGGGAGGCAGCAGUGAGGAAUAUUGGUCAAUGGGCGCAAGCCUGAACCAGCCAUGCCGCGUGCAGGAUAACGGCUCUAUGAGUUGUAAACUGCUUUUGUACGAGGGUAAACCCAGGGACGUGUCCUUGGUUGAAAGUACCGUACGAAUAAGGAUCGGCUAACUCCGUGCCAGCAGCCGCCGUAA
Molecule: ribosomal RNA, 504 nt
Filed under: uncultured bacterium
Lineage: Bacteria
Description: partial 16S ribosomal RNA
Rfam family: Bacterial small subunit ribosomal RNA
Source: RNAcentral